UAAAGUUCUGGGUAGAUAGAUGAUUUUGACAAUUUCUACCCAUUAGUCUUGACCAAGUCACGUGCCAGCAGUCGCGGUAAUACGUGGAAGACAAGUGUUAUUCAUCUUUAUUGGGUUUAAAGGGUACCUAGACGGCCGAUAAAGCCUAAAUAUAAAAAUUAGAGGGACUAAUUGGCUAGAGUUUUAUGUGAGGAGGAUAGGGUACGAAGAGCGUAGAGAUGAAAUUCAAUGAUCCCUUUCAGGAACCGACAAAGGCGAAAGCAAUCUUUUAUGUAAAAACUGACGUUGAGGGACGAAGGCUCGUGAAACAAACAGGAUUAGAUACCCUAGUAAUGUGGGCAGACAAUGAUGAAUGUCAUAUGUAAGUAUAGUAUUUAUAUUAUAAACAUUUAUAUAGGUUUGUAUCUGUAAUAAUGUAAGUUUAGUAUAAAUAAAUUUAUGUAUAAAUGAAAGUGUAAGCAUUCCACCUCAAGAGUAA
This 478-nucleotide ribosomal RNA is filed under the name Odontotrema diffindens. Its description in RNAcentral is "SSU rRNA". It matches the Rfam family "Bacterial small subunit ribosomal RNA", at positions 426 to 883 of the family's 1533-position model. Lineage: Eukaryota; Fungi; Ascomycota; Lecanoromycetes; Ostropales; Odontotremataceae. The record is from RNAcentral.